AGAGUUUGCAGUGCCUUGUCAUGCAAAUAGCUUGCUUGCAAGGAACGUUUGGAAUUUUAACAAACAUUAUUUUUCGUUUUUAAUUCUUUUAGGUUUGUAAUUCGUUUUUAAUUCUUUUUAAUUUUUUAAUUCGUUUAUAAAAGUAAAAGCAUAUUGUGUAUUGGCCUAUUGGGUUUACACUUUUACAGGUUCAUUUAACUUUAACUCUCUCAAGUCUCAACAGACAAUCGGACACAGGGCCGUAGCGAGGGGGUGUUGGGGGGGGGGGUGGUUAACCCAAUUUUGUAGAAUUAACAUAUUUGGAAAAUCGGGUUGGCCAUUCGGAAAAUUACGGCAAUAAUAGUAUAACAAAAUUUUAAUUGUUUAAUUAAACAGAAAAAAUAUUAUAAUAUUAUAAUCAGUAUAAAAUGAUUUACGAAAUCACGGCAUUUACAUGCCGGAUAACGUUUAACAAAUCGUAAAUCGGUAAAUUUUUUUCGGUUUCAGUACUUCUCAGGGCCGUAGCAACCGGGGGGGGGGGAGGCAGCACCCUUACAAUAAUUUGCUGAUAAUCAGUCUUUUUUCAAAAUCAUGCACACCUUUAUCAUUUAAACAAUUGAUUAAUUUUAAGCGGCUACAUUAUCCAUGACAAACCGCAAAGAAUUAUAUUACCCAUACUCUUUCCUGCAACUUCUCCAAUAUAUAGCUAAAUACGACUUCGCCCAUUUAAUUCUGCUAAAUUGUAAGCAAAUUGUAAAUUUCGACAUACUAAAACUCUAUUAACAACUCAAACCGACUUUACCACGUAGCUCAGUUGGCAGAGCAUUGGACUAGCAUCCCAAAGGUCGCGGGUUUGAUUUCCACCGUGGGCAAGCUAACUUUUCAGCUUGCCCGGUGUGGAUCAGUGGAUGCAUACUCAGAGUAACAUCACAAACAUCAUAUUCACUUGAGUACACAACACCAACACACACACAUAAAUCAUAUCAAAGAUUACACUGAUGUCGAAGGAACUAGAUUCAGUUCCGAAAUAUCAACAAGUCGAACCGACUUGACCACGUAGCUCAGGUGGGAGAGCAUUGGACUAGUAUCCCAAAGGUCGCAGGUUCGACUCCCACCGUGGCCACGCACACUUUUCAG
Paramuricea clavata is the source of this 1116-nucleotide non-coding RNA. Lineage: Eukaryota; Metazoa; Cnidaria; Anthozoa; Malacalcyonacea; Plexauridae. The record is from the annotation of a GenBank genome assembly.